AACGAACGCUGGCGGCAGGCUUAACACAUGCAAGUCGAACGCCCCGCAAGGGGAGUGGCAGACGGGUGAGUAACGCGUGGGAACAUACCCUUUUCUACGGAAUAGCUCUGGGAAACUGGAAUUAAUACCGUAUACGCCCUACGGGGGAAAGAUUUAUCGGGGAAGGAUUGGCCCGCGUUGGAUUAGCUAGUUGGUGGGGUAAAGGCCUACCAAGGCGACGAUCCAUAGCUGGUCUGAGAGGAUGAUCAGCCACAUUGGGACUGAGACACGGCCCAAACUCCUACGGGUGGCAGCAGUGGGGAAUAUUGGACAAUGGGCGCAAGCCUGAUCCAGCCAUGCCGCGUGAGUGAUGAAGGCCUUAGGGUUGUAAAGCUCUUUCACCGAUGAAGAUAAUGACGGUAGUCGGAGAAGAAGCCCCGGCUAACUUCGU
This 430-nucleotide ribosomal RNA is filed under the name uncultured bacterium. RNAcentral describes it as "partial 16S ribosomal RNA". It matches the Rfam family "Bacterial small subunit ribosomal RNA", at positions 29 to 506 of the family's 1533-position model. The record is from RNAcentral.